GACGAACGCUGGCGGCGUGCUUAACACAUGCAAGUCGGACGCUGAAGCUCAGCUUUUGUUGGGUGGAUGAGUGGCGAACGGGUGAGUAACACGUGAGUAACCUGCCUCCUUCUUUGGGAUAACGCCCGGAAACGGGUGCUAAUACUGGAUAUUCACUGGUCUUCGCAUGGGGGUUGGUGGAAAGGGUUUUUCUGGUGGGGGAUGGGCUUGCGGCCUAUCAGCUUGUUGGUGGGGUGAUGGCCUACCAAGGCUUUGACGGGUAGCCGGCCUGAGAGGGUGACCGGUCACAUUGGGACUGAGAUACGGCCCAGACUCCUACGGGAGGCAGCAGUGGGGAAUAUUGCACAAUGGGCGCAAGCCUGAUGCAGCGACGCCGCGUGAGGGAUGGAGGCCUUCGGGUUGUGAACCUCUUUCGCUCAUGGUCAAGCCGCAACAAUGGUUGUGGUGAGGGUAGUGGGUAAAGAAGCGCCGGCUAACUACGUG
Molecule: ribosomal RNA, 483 nt
Filed under: uncultured bacterium
Lineage: Bacteria
Description: partial 16S ribosomal RNA
Rfam family: Bacterial small subunit ribosomal RNA
Source: RNAcentral